CGAAUCGUUGGAAUACGGAUGGCGCUGU
This 28-nucleotide small RNA is filed under the name Bombyx mori (domestic silkworm). RNAcentral describes it as "ovarian small RNA-14147". The record is from RNAcentral. Lineage: Eukaryota; Metazoa; Arthropoda; Insecta; Lepidoptera; Bombycidae.